AUAAAGUGGGAUCGGAUGAAGAAUGUGGGUGCGAUUUUGGGUACCAAAGAGAAAUGGAAACAAAGAGGCAAACAAAUCCAUAUGGGCAUCUAAUCAUAUUCCAAGCAUUCCCAAAUUUAUCUCUUCCCACUCACUUUUUUUUUUUUGGACUCCAAAUACAUUUUUUUUUAUUAAAAAUUUUAGUGGCUUCAAACAUAUGAAUUGACAUUUUGAUGGAGUAUUAUUUCCUUAAUUAAGAUGGUGUAUAUAAGCUCA
RNAcentral lists this long non-coding RNA (255 nucleotides) under Capsella rubella. Its description in RNAcentral is "long non-coding RNA (CRUB_LNC002846)". The record is from RNAcentral. Lineage: Eukaryota; Viridiplantae; Streptophyta; Magnoliopsida; Brassicales; Brassicaceae.